Molecule: ribosomal RNA, 245 nt
Filed under: uncultured bacterium
Lineage: Bacteria
Description: partial 16S ribosomal RNA
Rfam family: Bacterial small subunit ribosomal RNA
Source: RNAcentral
CGGGUGAGUAACGCGUAGGUAAUCUACCCUAAUAUUUGGGAUAACAUUGGGAAACUGGUGCUAAUACCGAAUACCCUUCUUUUCUGUCGGGUUAAGGAGGAAAGGUGGCCUCUUCAUGAAAGCUACCGUAUAAGGAUGAGCCUGCGUACCAUUAGCUAGUAGGUGGGGUAAUGGCCCACCUAGGCAACGAUGGUUAGCGGGUCUGAGAGGAUGAUCCGCCACACUGGAACUGAGACACGGUCCAG